UGCAACUCGCCUGCAUGAAGUUGGAAUUGCUAGUAAUCGCGAAUCAGAAUGUCGCGGUGAAUACGUUCCCGGGCCUUGUACACACCGCCCGUCACACCAUGAGAGUCGAUAACACCCGAAGCCUGUAGUCUAACCAUAAGGAGGACGCAGUCGAAGGUGGGAUUGAUAAUUAGGGUGAAGUCGUAACAAGGUAAC
This 195-nucleotide ribosomal RNA is filed under the name uncultured bacterium. Its description in RNAcentral is "partial 16S ribosomal RNA". It matches the Rfam family "Bacterial small subunit ribosomal RNA", at positions 1306 to 1500 of the family's 1533-position model. The record is from RNAcentral.